GUACUUACCUGGCAGGAGAGACACUAUGAUCACGGAAGUGGUUUUCCCAGGGUGAGGCUUAUCCAUUGCACUCCAGAUGUGCUGACCUCUGCAAUUUCCCCAGAUGUUGGAAACUCGCCUGCAUAAUUUCUAGUAGAGGGAGACUAAGUUCGCACUCGCCUC
Suncus etruscus (white-toothed pygmy shrew) is the source of this 162-nucleotide small nuclear RNA. RefSeq annotates it as U1 spliceosomal RNA. NCBI's taxonomy places the organism in Eukaryota, Metazoa, Chordata, Mammalia, Eulipotyphla, Soricidae. The record is from RefSeq and is a predicted model, not a curated record. The transcript has a single exon.